CUAGACGAGUUUGAUCCUGGCUCAGAUUGAACGCUGGCGGCAGGCCUAACACAUGCAAGUCGAGCGUGGAAAGGGCUUCGGCCUGAGUAAAGCGGCGGACGGGUGAGUAACGCGUAGGAAUCUACCUGUAGUGGGGGAUAACGUUCCGAAAGGGACGCUAAUACCGCAUACGUUCCGAGGAAGAAAGGCGGGGGAUCGCAAGACCUCGCGCUAUCAGAUGAGCCUGCGUCCGAUUAGCUAGUUGGUGGGGUAAAGGCCUACCAAGGCGACGAUCGGUAACUGGUCUGAGAGGAUGAUCAGUCACACUGGAACUGAGACACGGUCCAGACUCCUACGGGAGGCAGCAGUGGGGAAUAUUGGACAAUGGGCGCAAGCCUGAUCCAGCCAUGCCGCGUGUGUGAAGAAGGCCUUCGGGUUGUAAAGCACUUUAAGCGGGGAGGAAGGCCUGGCGGCUAAUAUCCGUCGGGAUUGACGUUACCCGCAGAAUAAGCACCGGCAAACUACGUG
RNAcentral lists this ribosomal RNA (507 nucleotides) under uncultured bacterium. RNAcentral describes it as "bacterial SSU rRNA". It matches the Rfam family "Bacterial small subunit ribosomal RNA", at positions 1 to 507 of the family's 1533-position model. The record is from RNAcentral.